Amyelois transitella is the source of this 3875-nucleotide RNA transcript. It is a transcript of the gene named xaa-Pro aminopeptidase 3, with no coding region annotated. The transcript has 2 exons. NCBI's taxonomy places the organism in Eukaryota, Metazoa, Arthropoda, Insecta, Lepidoptera, Pyralidae. The record is from RefSeq and is a predicted model, not a curated record.
UUAUUUUUUGUAGUAAUUCUUAAGUAGUUUGUAUAGCAACACUAAAGUUAAUUGUCAAUGUCGGAUAUGAUUAUGUCUAUUGACAUCUGACUAGAUGUCAAUGUCAAAAGAGGAUCUAAAAAGAAAGAUUUGUCGUUGUUGGUUUGUCAAGAAGAAAAAAUAAAGAUUGUGAGUUUUUGAAAAGUGUUUGCAUCAAGUUGAGCCCCAUUCCCACAUCUUUUUUGGGGGCUCGUCCGGGAUGGUGUAAAAUUUGAUGCUAGCCGAAGACGCAAGACGAGAUUAAAAAAUUGCAAGCCACGCCGUGGACGCGGACUGUUUUACCGACAAUUUUGCCGGUCCGGACUGAACAUAGGUACGAAUCACACCUCUACUGUUUUACCGACCCUACGAACUGUUCAGACUUCACUUCAAACAAAAUGUUGCAAGCUACAAAAUAAUUAUACUAAAAUGGUAGUUUUUUUUGGAAUUUGGAUUAAAGAUUUAUUUAAGACGAAAGACUAAAUGAGUCCAAAUAAGCCAUCAUUUUGCACGACUACCAAGAGAAGACGCAAUUUAAAGAGCAAUUCAAGUUUGAAGAGUUCUAGCUUGAUAGCAACAAUGCCGCCGAAGAAAGAUGAUAAGUACGAAAGUGAAGAUGAAGAACAGGAGUAUGAAGUUAAGAUUUCAUUUAAGGACUUGGAGAAAUCUAUGACUAUUUUUACCGGAGAUGACACCUACCCGAUUGAGACAUUUAUUGAUGAGUUUGAGGAUACUGCACAGAUUAUGAAGUGGACUAAAGUUGAAAAGUUAAUCUAUGCGAAGCGGCUUUUAGAUGGAACAGCGAAGUUGUUUUUACGCUCUUUGGGACGAGUUAAAGAUUAUCCAGGUUUAAAGAAGGCACUCAAAGAAGAAUUUGGCCCAAAGAUUAAUAGCGCAGUGGUGCAUAAAAAACUUGCUUCGCGGAAAAUGAAAAAUGAGGAGACAUAUCAGCAGUACUUUCUGUCUAUGAAAGAAUUGGCGCUUCAUGGCAAGGUUGAAGAUGCCGCAUUGAUCGAAUAUGUGAUUGAUGGUAUUCGUGACUUGGAUACUAAUAAAGCUAUUUUGUAUGGAGCCUCGGACAUAAAAGAAUUUCGCAAGAAGUUGGAAAUUUACAGUGACUUUAAAAAAAAGAGUUCUAAUAAGCCAGUAAAUUCAACUAAUACUGUCCAAUCAUCUGGAAAUACUUCAUUUCGAAAGAAGACUCGCGUUCAUAGAUGCUAUAACUGUGGUGAUUUAGAUCAUGUGUCAUCCAAUUGCUCGAAAGGAGUAAAAUGUUUUAAAUGUAAUGACUUUGGCCACAAAUCUACUGAAUGCCCUAAACAGACAAAGACUCUUAAUAUUCAAAAUAAAAAAGAAGAUAAAGUUCCGUACAAAAAUAUAAAGAUCAAUGGCAAAGACGUUAUAGCCCUUAUUGAUACCGGAAGUGACAUAAACCUAAUUAAAGAAUCAGAAUUUGAGAAAAUUAAAGAAGAUGUUAAAGACUAUAAGAUUGAAUCUACGUGCAUAACUGGAAUAGCAAAAAACGAAGUUUAUACCGAAGGAAUGUUUGUAGCUAAUAUACAGAUUGAUCAAUACUUUACAGACAUCAAGUUUCACGUGGUCAAGGAUAAUGAUAUACCAGUAAACAUAAUAAUUGGAAACCCUAUUUUACAUGAUUUUGAAGUCUGCUUUACCCCAGAAGGAAUUUUCAUGGAAAAGAUAACCCACCUUACGCUUUUAACAGAAGAAAAACAUACUGACCGGAUUUACGACAUAGAAGAUUCUAAAUAUAAAGAAAAAGUUCAUAAGAUGUGCGAAGAAUAUAGACUAAAUGAAAUGAAGAAAGAAAGUAAAGUUGAAUUAAAAAUAAUAUUAACAAAUGAAGAUCCAGUAUAUCAAAAUCCUCGACGACUAUCACCUUUGGAGAUGACUGCUGUUAACGCGCAAGUGAAAGAAUGGCUAGAUGGUGGCAUAAUCAAACUUAGCCAAUCUGAUUUUGCCAGUCCCGUGGUUUUGGGUGAUAAGAAAGAUGGUUCUCGACGAAUGUGUACUGAUUACCGAAGAUUAAAAGUGAUUAAAGAACGAUUUCCACUACCAACAACAGAAGAUCAGAUUGAUAAGUUAAAGGAAGCAAAGGUUUUCACUUCCCUCGACCUCAAAAACGGCUUCCUACACGCAAAGGACUUACCUCCGAGAGUUGAUCGCUGGGCGCUUCUCUUAGAAGAAUAUGACUACAAGAUUGAACACCGACCAGGAACAAGGAUGAAACAUGCAGCAGCCUUAAGCAGAAAUCCUGUUUGCCUUAUACUCACUGAAACUACAGCCCGUAUUAGAAAAGCUCAGAAUGAAGAUGCCCAUAUAAGACUAAUAAAAAAUAUCUUAGAGACACAGAAUUACGAAGACUAUAUUUUACAAAACGAAAUUUUAUAUAAGAUUAAAGAUGGAAACAGACUGAUUGUUGUGCCAAAGAAAAUGCAAUAUGAAAUAAUAAGGAAGAAUCAUGAAAGAGGACACUUUGGAACUGUAAAAACAGAAGAAUUGAUUAAAAGAGAAUAUUUUAUAGAUAACUUAACAGAAAAGGUUAAAAAGACAAUAAAUAAUUGCGUUGAAUGCAUUAUUCUAUCACACAAAGCUGGUAAAAAGGAAGGGUAUUUACAUCCGAUCGACAAAGGAGACGUCCCAUUGUCGACGUAUCACGUAGAUCAUUUGGGGCCAAUGACAUCCACUUCCAAAAAUUAUAAAUACAUCUUAACUGUCGUAGAUGCGUAUACGAAGUUCACAUGGAUUUAUCCUGUCAAGACGCUGACUACUGAAGAGACUCUAGAGAAACUAAGGCUGCAACAACAAACGUUUGGUGCACCUGAAAGAAUUAUUACGGAUCGAAACGCUGCUUUUACAUCAAAAGAUUUCCAAGAAUAUUGCAAAAGGGAGAAUAUUGCACUUUAUACGAUUACUACUGGACAACCCAGAGGAAACGGUCAAGUUGAGCGCAUACACCAGAUCAUAAUAGCGGUAUUAAGCAAACUAAGUGUUGAUGAUCCUAAUAAAUGGUAUCGCCAUGUCUCCAAUGUUCAAAGAUGUCUAAAUGGAACAUAUCAAAGAGCUAUUAAAAUGACGCCGUUCGAAUUACUUUUUGGUACAAAAAUGAAGGAUAAAGAUAUAGAACUGCAAAAAUUAAUAGAUGAAGAAGAUAUAGAAAUAUUUAAUGAGAAAAGACAAGAGCUCAGACAGAAGGCAAAAGAAUCCAUUGGAAAAACGCAGGAAGAAAAUGUGAAAUCAUUUAAUAAGAAGCGAAAGAAAGCCAAUACCUAUAAACCAGGCGAUUUGGUCGCGAUUAAGAGGACCCAAUUCGCACAAGGAAGUAAACUAUAUCCAAAAUACUUAGGACCGUAUGAGAUUGUUAAAAGCAAUCAAAACGAUCGCUAUUCUGUGAGGAAGAUUGGCAACAGUGAAGGUCCGUUUAAUACAACUUCCUCAGCAGAUUACAUGAAGCCCUGGAUCUCACUGGAAGAUGAUUCAUCUGAGUCAGAUGAAUAACAGGAUGACCGUGUGGGAAUAAUUAUGAUUUAUUUUUGUUAUUUUUUGUAGUAAUUCUUAAGUAGUUUGUAUAGCAACACUAAAGUUAAUUGUCAAUGUCGGAUAUGAUUAUGUCUAUUGACAUCUGACUAGAUGUCAAUGUCAAAAGAGGAUCUAAAAAGAAAGAUUUGUCGUUGUUGGUUUGUCAAGAAGAAAAAAUAAAGAUUGAAUCUACAUCAGGCCGGACGACGAGAGCGUACCCCCCGAGUUCCGGGGGGUCGGCAUCCGGGUGGAAGACGACGUGCUCAUCACCGACUCCGAGCCUGCGGUGCUGACAGAGUCCUGCGUCAAGGAGGUCCACG